GGAUGAACGCUGGCGGCGUGCCUAAUCCAUGCAAGUCGAGCGAACGGACGAGAAGCUUGCUUCUCUGAUGUUAGCGGCGGACGGGUGAGUAACACGUGGAUAACCUACCUAUAAGACUGGGAUAACUUCGGGAAACCGGAGCUAAUACCGGAUGAUAUUUUGAACCGCAUGGUUCAAAAGUGAAAGACGGUCUUGCUGUCACUUAUCGAUGGAUCCGCGCUGCAUUAGCUAGUUGGUAAGGUAACGGCUUACCAAGGCAACGAUGCAUAGCCGACCUGAGAGGGUGAUCGGCCACACUGGAACUGAGACACGGUCCAGACGCCUACGGGAGGCAGCAGUAGGGAAUCUUCCACAAUGGGCGAAAGCCUGACGGAGCAACGCCGCGUGAGUGAUGAAGGUCUUCGGAUCGUAAAACUCUGUUAUUAGGGAAGAACAUAUGUGUAAGUAACUGUGCACAUCUUGACGGUACCUAAUCAGAAAGCCACGGCUAACUACGUG
This 498-nucleotide ribosomal RNA is filed under the name uncultured bacterium. Its description in RNAcentral is "partial 16S ribosomal RNA". It matches the Rfam family "Bacterial small subunit ribosomal RNA", at positions 27 to 507 of the family's 1533-position model. The record is from RNAcentral.